RNAcentral lists this ribosomal RNA (1676 nucleotides) under human gut metagenome. Its description in RNAcentral is "bacterial LSU rRNA". It matches the Rfam family "Bacterial large subunit ribosomal RNA", at positions 766 to 2527 of the family's 2925-position model. The record is from RNAcentral.
AUGGAGGACCGAACCGACCCCCGUUGAAAAGUUGGCGGAUGACUUGUGGAUAGCGGAGAAAUUCCAAUCGAACCCGGAUAUAGCUGGUUCUCCCCGAAAUAGCUUUAGGGCUAGCCUCGAAUAUAUUUACCGGAGGUAAAGCACUGAAUGGUCGAGGGGUCGAGAGACUACCAACACCUAUCAAACUAAGAAUACCGGAUAAAUGAGUUCGGGAGUCAGACUACGUGAGAUAAGUCUCGUGGUCAAAAGGGAAACAGCCCAGACCCACAGCUAAGGUCCCCAAUGUAUGCUAAGUGGAAAACGAUGUGACAAUGCUAAGACAACUAGGAUGUUGGCUUAGAAGCAGCCACUCAUUCAAAGAGUGCGUAAUAGCUCACUAGUCGAGUGAUGUUGCGCGGAAAAUUCAACGGGGCUAAGCAUACAACCGAAGCUUGGGCAGUAGAAAUACUGGGUAGGGGAGCGUUCUGUACGGGCAGAAGCAUCAGCGGAAGCAGAUGUGGACUGUACAGAAGUGAGAAUGCCGGAAUGAGUAGCGAGAAUUGUGUGAGAAUCAUAAUGGCCGAAAAUCUAAGGUUUCCGGGGGUAGGGUCGUCCACCCCGGGUUAGCCGGGAGCUAAGGCGAGGCCGCGAGGCGUAGUCGAUGCACAAACGGUAGAGAUUCCGUUGCCGCCAGAUCUUAAGUAACUGACACGAGGGUAGAGUUCAACCCGGCCGAUGGUAGAGCCGGGCGAAAGGGACUGAAGAAUAGUAGGGAAGUGAACGAAGCCAGCGGCGAGAAAAGGUUAUGUAUGAAAUCAGGCGCCCGUACCGCAAACCGACACAGGUAGAUGAGGAGAGGAUCCUAAGGCCAGCGGGAGAAGGGUUGUUAAGGAACUCGGCAUAUUGACCCCGUAACUUCGGAAGAAGGGGUGCCUCCGUAAGGAGGCCGCAGUGAAAAGGCCCAGGCAACUGUUUAUCAAAAACACAGGUUUCUGCAAAAGCGAAAGCUGAAGUAUAGGAGCUGACGCCUGCCCGGUGCUGGAAGGUCAAGGGGAUCGCUUAGCGCAAGCGAAGGCGAGAACUUAAGCCCCAGUAAACGGCGGCCGUAACUAUAACGGUCCUAAGGUAGCGAAAUUCCUUGCCAGGUAAGUUCUGGCCUGCACGAAUGGCGUAAUGAUCUGGGCACUGUCUCAACAGCCCGCCCGGCGAAAUUGUAGUACCGGUGAAGAUGCCGGUUUCCUGCGACUAGACGGAAAGACCCCAUGGAGCUUUACUGUAGUCUGAUACUGAAAUUUGGUUCAUUAUGCACAGGAUAGGUGGGAGACAGAGAAACCCGGGCUUUGGCUUGGGCGGAGUCGCCGUUGGGAUACCACUCUUGAUGAACCAAGUUUCUAACCUGCUCCCGUGAUCCGGGAGGGGGACAAUGUCAGAUGGGCAGUUUGACUGGGGCGGUCGCCUCCAAAAGAGUAACGGAGGCGUUCAAAGGUUGGCUCAGCGCGGACGGAAAUCGCGCAAUGAGUAUAAACGUAUAAGCCAGCCUAACUGUGAGACCUACAAGUCGAGCAGUAACGAAAGUUGGAGUUAGUGAUCAGGUGGUAGUGAGUGGAAAUGCCAUCGCUUAACGGAUAAAAGCUACCCUGGGGAUAACAGGCUGAUCUCCCCCAAGAGUUCACAUCGACGGGGAGGUUUGGCACCUC